GGAUGUGAGGCUGAUCUGUCUGGACAUCUGUUAUCCCAUUGAUUGCCAGGGUUGAUCUGGCUGAUCUGGCUGGGUAGGCAGGUGUCCCCUUCCUCCUGACCACUCCAUGUGCAGCCCUUGUGAAGCUGUGUUCUUGGUUGAAGAGGAUGAUCUUCUCCAAUAGAGGAGGACCAUUCUUUGAUCAAGGGUAUAUGAGUAGCUGCACUCCCCUGCCAGAACCUCCAAAUAAGUUCUCAAGGUCCAUAUGUUAUUUUGAGAACUUCAGAGUGUUCCUGCCCACAUGCCACAACCCCUUGCUGUUUCCAGUCUGAUCUAUACAAC
RNAcentral lists this small nuclear RNA (321 nucleotides) under Aotus nancymaae (Ma's night monkey). Its description in RNAcentral is "7SK RNA (ENSANAG00000005162.1)". It matches the Rfam family "7SK RNA". Rfam says of the family: 7SK was discovered as an abundant small nuclear RNA in the mid-70s but a possible function has only recently been suggested. Two independent studies have found that 7SK RNA binds the CDK9/cyclin T complex (known as elongation factor P-TEFb). Lineage: Eukaryota; Metazoa; Chordata; Mammalia; Primates; Aotidae. The record is from RNAcentral.